UUUAAAGGGUGCGUAGGCGGCCCGUUAAGUCCGGGGUGAAAGCCCACUGCUCAACAGUGGAACUGCCCUGGAUACUGACGGGCUUGAGUACAGACGAGGUUGGCGGAAUGGACCGAGUAGCGGUGAAAUGCAUAGAUACGGUCCAGAACCCCGAUUGCGAAGGCAGCUGACUAGGCUGUUACUGACGCUGAGGCACGACAGCGUGGGGAGCGAACAGGAUUAGAUACCCUGGUAGUCCACGCCGUAAACGAUGGAUACUCGCUGCGAGCUAAAGAUUGUUCGUGGCUUAGGGAAACCGAUAAGUAUCCCACCUGGGGAGUACGCCGGCAACGGUGAAACUCAAAGGAAUUGACGGGGGCCCGCACAAGUGGUGGAGCACGUGGUUUAAUUCGAUGAUACGCGAGGAACCUUACCUAGGCUAGAAUGCGCGUGACCGGCUCAGAGAUGAGCCUUUCCUUCGGGACACAGAGCAAGGUGCUGCAUGGCCGUCGUCAGCUCGUGCCGUGAGGUGUUGGGUUAAGUCCCGCAACGAGCGCAACCCCUAUGUUUAGUUGCCAGCACGUAAUGGUGGGGACUCUAGACAGACUGCCUGCGCAAGCAGUGAGGAAGGCGGGGACGACGUCAGGUCAUCAUGGCCCUUACGCCUAGGGCGACACACGUGCUACAAUGGACGGUACAGCGGGUAGCUACACAGCGAUGUGAUGCCAAUCUCGAAAAGCCGUUCUCAGUUCGGAUCGGAGUCUGCAACUCGACUCCGUGAAGCUGGAAUCACUAGUAAUCGCGCAUCAGCCAUGGCGCGGUGAAUA
RNAcentral lists this ribosomal RNA (806 nucleotides) under uncultured bacterium. RNAcentral describes it as "bacterial SSU rRNA". It matches the Rfam family "Bacterial small subunit ribosomal RNA", at positions 559 to 1368 of the family's 1533-position model. The record is from RNAcentral.